AGUGAACGCUGGCGGUAGGCCUAACACAUGCAAGUCGAACGGCAGCACAGUAAGAGCUUGCUCUUACGGGUGGCGAGUGGCGGACGGGUGAGGAAUACAUCGGAAUCUACUUUUUCGUGGGGGAUAACGUAGGGAAACUUACGCUAAUACCGCAUACGACCUACGGGUGAAAGCAGGGGAUCUUCGGACCUUGCGCGAUUGAAUGAGCCGAUGUCGGAUUAGCUAGUUGGCGGGGUAAAGGCCCACCAAGGCGACGAUCCGUAGCUGGUCUGAGAGGAUGAUCAGCCACACUGGAACUGAGACUCGGUCCAGACUCCUACGGGAGGCAGCAGUGGGGAAUAUUGGACAAUGGGCGCAAGCCUGAUCCAGCCAUACCGCGUGGUGAAGAAGGCCUUCGGGUUGUAAAGCCCUUUUGUUGGGAAAGAAAAGCAGCAGGUUAAUACCCCGCUGUUCUGACGGUACCCAAAGAAUAAGCACCGGCUAACUUCGUG
This 491-nucleotide ribosomal RNA is filed under the name uncultured bacterium. Its description in RNAcentral is "partial 16S ribosomal RNA". It matches the Rfam family "Bacterial small subunit ribosomal RNA", at positions 29 to 507 of the family's 1533-position model. The record is from RNAcentral.